RNAcentral lists this ribosomal RNA (301 nucleotides) under uncultured bacterium. RNAcentral's name for it is "partial 16S ribosomal RNA". It matches the Rfam family "Bacterial small subunit ribosomal RNA", at positions 509 to 807 of the family's 1533-position model. The record is from RNAcentral.
CAGUAGCCGCGGUAAUACGUAGGGUGCGAGCGUUAAUCGGAAUUACUGGGCGUAAAGCGUGCGCAGGCGGUUCGUUAAGACAGAUGUGAAAUCCCCGGGCUUAACCUGGGAACUGCAUUUGUGACUGGCGAGCUAGAGUAUGGUAGAGGGGGGUAGAAUUCCAGGUGUAGCGGUGAAAUGCGUAGAGAUCUGGAGGAAUACCGGUGGCGAAGGCGGCCCCCUGGACAAAGACUGACGCUCAGGUGCGAAAGCGUGGGGAGCAAACAGGAUUAGAUACCCGAGUAGUCCCUGUCUCUUAUAC